Molecule: ribosomal RNA, 2902 nt
Filed under: Escherichia coli DEC8D
Lineage: Bacteria; Pseudomonadati; Pseudomonadota; Gammaproteobacteria; Enterobacterales; Enterobacteriaceae
Description: bacterial LSU rRNA
Rfam family: Bacterial large subunit ribosomal RNA
Source: RNAcentral
UUAAGCGACUAAGCGUACACGGUGGAUGCCCUGGCAGUCAGAGGCGAUGAAGGACGUGCUAAUCUGCGAUAAGCGUCGGUAAGGUGAUAUGAACCGUUAUAACCGGCGAUUUCCGAAUGGGGAAACCCAGUGUGAUUCGUCACACUAUCAUUAACUGAAUCCAUAGGUUAAUGAGGCGAACCGGGGGAACUGAAACAUCUAAGUACCCCGAGGAAAAGAAAUCAACCGAGAUUCCCCCAGUAGCGGCGAGCGAACGGGGAGCAGCCCAGAGCCUGAAUCAGUAUGUGUGUUAGUGGAAGCGUCUGGAAAGGCGCGCGAUACAGGGUGACAGCCCCGUACACAAAAAUGCACAUGCUGUGAGCUCGAUGAGUAGGGCGGGACACGUGGUAUCCUGUCUGAAUAUGGGGGGACCAUCCUCCAAGGCUAAAUACUCCUGACUGACCGAUAGUGAACCAGUACCGUGAGGGAAAGGCGAAAAGAACCCCGGCGAGGGGAGUGAAAAAGAACCUGAAACCGUGUACGUACAAGCAGUGGGAGCACGCUUAGGCGUGUGACUGCGUACCUUUUGUAUAAUGGGUCAGCGACUUAUAUUCUGUAGCAAGGUUAACCGAAUAGGGGAGCCGAAGGGAAACCGAGUCUUAACUGGGCGUUAAGUUGCAGGGUAUAGACCCGAAACCCGGUGAUCUAGCCAUGGGCAGGUUGAAGGUUGGGUAACACUAACUGGAGGACCGAACCGACUAAUGUUGAAAAAUUAGCGGAUGACUUGUGGCUGGGGGUGAAAGGCCAAUCAAACCGGGAGAUAGCUGGUUCUCCCCGAAAGCUAUUUAGGUAGCGCCUCGUGAAUUCAUCUCCGGGGGUAGAGCACUGUUUCGGCAAGGGGGUCAUCCCGACUUACCAACCCGAUGCAAACUGCGAAUACCGGAGAAUGUUAUCACGGGAGACACACGGCGGGUGCUAACGUCCGUCGUGAAGAGGGAAACAACCCAGACCGCCAGCUAAGGUCCCAAAGUCAUGGUUAAGUGGGAAACGAUGUGGGAAGGCCCAGACAGCCAGGAUGUUGGCUUAGAAGCAGCCAUCAUUUAAAGAAAGCGUAAUAGCUCACUGGUCGAGUCGGCCUGCGCGGAAGAUGUAACGGGGCUAAACCAUGCACCGAAGCUGCGGCAGCGACGCUUAUGCGUUGUUGGGUAGGGGAGCGUUCUGUAAGCCUGUGAAGGUGUGCUGUGAGGCAUGCUGGAGGUAUCAGAAGUGCGAAUGCUGACAUAAGUAACGAUAAAGCGGGUGAAAAGCCCGCUCGCCGGAAGACCAAGGGUUCCUGUCCAACGUUAAUCGGGGCAGGGUGAGUCGACCCCUAAGGCGAGGCCGAAAGGCGUAGUCGAUGGGAAACAGGUUAAUAUUCCUGUACUUGGUGUUACUGCGAAGGGGGGACGGAGAAGGCUAUGUUGGCCGGGCGACGGUUGUCCCGGUUUAAGCGUGUAGGCUGGUUUUCCAGGCAAAUCCGGAAAAUCAAGGCUGAGGCGUGAUGACGAGGCACUACGGUGCUGAAGCAACAAAUGCCCUGCUUCCAGGAAAAGCCUCUAAGCAUCAGGUAACAUCAAAUCGUACCCCAAACCGACACAGGUGGUCAGGUAGAGAAUACCAAGGCGCUUGAGAGAACUCGGGUGAAGGAACUAGGCAAAAUGGUGCCGUAACUUCGGGAGAAGGCACGCUGAUAUGUAGGUGAAGUCCCUCGCGGAUGGAGCUGAAAUCAGUCGAAGAUACCAGCUGGCUGCAACUGUUUAUUAAAAACACAGCACUGUGCAAACACGAAAGUGGACGUAUACGGUGUGACGCCUGCCCGGUGCCGGAAGGUUAAUUGAUGGGGUCAGCGCAAGCGAAGCUCUUGAUCGAAGCCCCGGUAAACGGCGGCCGUAACUAUAACGGUCCUAAGGUAGCGAAAUUCCUUGUCGGGUAAGUUCCGACCUGCACGAAUGGCGUAAUGAUGGCCAGGCUGUCUCCACCCGAGACUCAGUGAAAUUGAACUCGCUGUGAAGAUGCAGUGUACCCGCGGCAAGACGGAAAGACCCCGUGAACCUUUACUAUAGCUUGACACUGAACAUUGAGCCUUGAUGUGUAGGAUAGGUGGGAGGCUUGGAAGUGUGGACGCCAGUCUGCAUGGAGCCGACCUUGAAAUACCACCCUUUAAUGUUUGAUGUUCUAACGUUGACCCGUAAUCCGGGUUGCGGACAGUGUCUGGUGGGUAGUUUGACUGGGGCGGUCUCCUCCUAAAGAGUAACGGAGGAGCACGAAGGUUGGCUAAUCCUGGUCGGACAUCAGGAGGUUAGUGCAAUGGCAUAAGCCAGCUUGACUGCGAGCGUGACGGCGCGAGCAGGUGCGAAAGCAGGUCAUAGUGAUCCGGUGGUUCUGAAUGGAAGGGCCAUCGCUCAACGGAUAAAAGGUACUCCGGGGAUAACAGGCUGAUACCGCCCAAGAGUUCAUAUCGACGGCGGUGUUUGGCACCUCGAUGUCGGCUCAUCACAUCCUGGGGCUGAAGUAGGUCCCAAGGGUAUGGCUGUUCGCCAUUUAAAGUGGUACGCGAGCUGGGUUUAGAACGUCGUGAGACAGUUCGGUCCCUAUCUGCCGUGGGCGCUGGAGAACUGAGGGGGGCUGCUCCUAGUACGAGAGGACCGGAGUGGACGCAUCACUGGUGUUCGGGUUGUCAUGCCAAUGGCACUGCCCGGUAGCUAAAUGCGGAAGAGAUAAGUGCUGAAAGCAUCUAAGCACGAAACUUGCCCCGAGAUGAGUUCUCCCUGACUCCUUGAGAGUCCUGAAGGAACGUUGAAGACGACGACGUUGAUAGGCCGGGUGUGUAAGCGCAGCGAUGCGUUGAGCUAACCGGUACUAAUGAACCGUGAGGCUUAACCUU